GGUUAAGGGCUUGUCAGUCAGCAUUUCACUGUGAGGUCUACACUGUUGGUUAAGGGCUUGUCAGUCAGCAUUUCACUGUGAGGUCUACACUGUUGGUUAAGGGCUUGUCAGUCAGCAUUUCACUGUGAGGUCUACACUGUUGGUUAAGGGCUUGUCAGUAAACAUUUCACUGUGAGGUCUACACUGUUGGUUAAGGGCUUGUCAGUAAACAUUUCACUGUGAGGUCUACACUGUUGGUUAAGGGCUUGUCAGUAAACAUUUCACUGUGAGGUCUACACUGUUGGUUAAGGGCUUGUCAGUCAGCAUUUCACUGUGAGGUCUACACUGUUGGUUAAGGGCUUGUCAGUAAACAUUUCACUGUGAGGUCUACACUGUUGGUUAAGGGCUUGUCAGUAAACAUUUCACUGUGGUCUACACUGUUGGUUAAGGGCUUGUCAGUAAACAUUUCACUGUGAGGUCUACACUGUUGGUUAAGGGCUUGUCAGUAAAGCAUUUCACUGUGAGGUCUACACUGUUGGUUAAGGGCUUGUAAGUAAAGCAUUUCACCGUAAAGUCUACACUUGUUGUAUUCGGCGCGUGUGACAAAUACUGUUUUUGAUUUGAUUUGAUAACUCUUGGUGUUUUCUCAAAAGUGGUUACAUUCUGUGGAUUCUUCAAAUACCUUGAGUUGAUUUCUGACGUGAUGUUUUCUAUUUUUCUGUAGUGCAUUUCUGUGUUGUUUUAGUGACUCGCCGUAGUGAAGGCGUAGGCUGAGGUUUUCUGAGGUUUUCUGAGUCUACAGAGAGAUUCUCUCUCUCUUUUCUCCCUCCCCCUCUCGCUUUCUCUCUCUUUCUCUCUCUUUUUCUUUCUUUCUUUCUUUCUUUCUUUCUUUCUUUCUUUCUUUCUUUCUUUCUUUCUUUCUCUCUUGCAUUCUCUCUCUCUCUCUCUCUCUCUCUCUCUCUCUCUCUCUCUCUCUCUCUCUCUCUCUCUCCCUCUCUCUCUUUCUCUCCCCUCUCUCUCUCUCUCUCUCUCUCUUUCUCUCUC
This is a long non-coding RNA of Oncorhynchus keta (chum salmon), 1023 nucleotides long. RefSeq lists it as uncharacterized. The record is from RefSeq and is a predicted model, not a curated record. The transcript is spliced from 3 exons. Lineage: Eukaryota; Metazoa; Chordata; Actinopteri; Salmoniformes; Salmonidae.